AGACAUGGUUGGAGGAUUAACUAGGCAGAUUUUCUGGUUUUUUUUUCUCUAAAUACCCCACCUCUCCGCCCUGUCCGAAGGGGGCGUUUCAGUCUCUCUCUCUCUCUCUCUCUCUCUCUCUCUCUCUCUCGCUCUCUCUCUCUCUCUCUCUCUCGCUGAUCCUCUGUCUCAGACAGGACAGCAGCAGCAGCAACAGGACACACACCCACACACAUCCCUAUCCACACAUCAGACUGCUCCAGGAUAGAUGCUCCAACAAGCAGUCCGAGUGGAAUCUGAUGUUUUCGACAGAUGGCAUUUACCGUUUGGGACAUGCUGGGCUCAGCGGGACCUGAAGCUUAAGAGGUUAGAGCUGUCAAAAAGACUCUGUGCAUAAAAGACAAGACAAAGCCACGAUGACCUGUCAUGUCUGGGUCAAGCUUGAGGACAAUCUCCACCAAUCAAUAUCUCCAUGGCAAACUGAGGACCUUAUUCCCAUCAUGAAUGAUUUUUUGGGGGGGAUUAAGUGAGCAGGUCUUUCAUGAUCCCAUCAA
Molecule: long non-coding RNA, 533 nt
Organism: Hemibagrus wyckioides
Lineage: Eukaryota; Metazoa; Chordata; Actinopteri; Siluriformes; Bagridae
Exons: 3
Source: RefSeq, a predicted model, not a curated record